CCUACGGGGGGCAGCAGUGGGGAAUAUUGCGCAAUGGGCGAAAGCCUGACGCAGCGACGCCGCGUGAGGGAUGAAGGUCUUCGGAUCGUAAACCUCUGUCAGCAGGGAAGAACGGUCACUGUGCUAAUCAGCAGUGAAUUGACGGUACCUGCAAAGGAAGCACCGGCUAACUCCGUGCCAGCAGCCGCGGUAAUACGGAGGGUGCGAGCGUUAAUCGGAAUUACUGGGCGUAAAGCGCUCGUAGGCGGUAUGUCAAGUCAAGGGUGAAAUCCCCGCGCUCAACGUGGGAACUGCCUUUGAAACUGGCAAACUGGAGUGUGUGAGAGGAUAGUGGAAGUCCAGGUGUAGGAGUGAAAUGCGUAGAUAUCUGGAGGAACAUCAGUGGCGAAGGCGACUAUCUGGCACAUAACUGACGCUGAGGAGCGAAAGCGUGGGUAGCAAACAGGAUUAGAUACCCGAGUAGUC
RNAcentral lists this ribosomal RNA (465 nucleotides) under uncultured bacterium. RNAcentral's name for it is "partial 16S ribosomal RNA". It matches the Rfam family "Bacterial small subunit ribosomal RNA", at positions 338 to 795 of the family's 1533-position model. The record is from RNAcentral.